Molecule: ribosomal RNA, 354 nt
Filed under: uncultured bacterium
Lineage: Bacteria
Description: bacterial SSU rRNA
Rfam family: Bacterial small subunit ribosomal RNA
Source: RNAcentral
AGAGUUUGAUCCUGGCUCAGGAUGAACGCUAGCUACAGGCUUAACACAUGCAAGUCGAGGGGCAGCAUUUCAGUUUGCUUGCAAACUGGAGAUGGCGACCGGCGCACGGGUGAGUAACACGUAUCCAACCUGCCGAUAACUCGGGGAUAGCCUUUCGGAAGAAAGAUUAAUACCCGGUGGUAUAAUCAGACCGCAUGGUCUUGUUAUUAAAGAAUUUCGGUUAUCGAUGGGGAUGCGUUCCAUUAGGCAGUUGGUGAGGUAACGGCUCACCAAACCUUCGAUGGAUAGGGGUUCUGAGAGGAAGGUCCCCCACAUUGGAACUGAGACACGGUCCAAACUCCUACGGGAGGAGCA